RNAcentral lists this long non-coding RNA (3758 nucleotides) under Homo sapiens (human). Its description in RNAcentral is "HSALNT0380839". Lineage: Eukaryota; Metazoa; Chordata; Mammalia; Primates; Hominidae. The record is from RNAcentral.
AGGGCGCCAUCUUGGCCCCGCGGAGCGUGACUGUCUCGGCUGGAAGCGUGGGAGGCCGGAGGAUCAGUGACUGGCUGUCGUGGACAUGCUCGCUACACCUCCCGGGGCUUCGCUUCGUUUACUAUUAACUGUCGUUACUCCUCUGUAUCUCGUCAGCAGGGGCUGCCUGCGGUGUUAGAAUUACACGCCCCUGCCACCUGGGCACGGAGCCCAGUCUCCCGGCCCCUCAGUCAGUCCUUGGGUGUAGCUGGAGCAUUUAAGAAAAAUGAAAUAUAGGAACUCAGUGCAUGGUUUCCUGGGCCUUUUUAUUGAAUAUCAUUUCUAACAUGUACACAGUAUAACCCAGGCUUAGUGGAUUCCGGGACAGAAAAUGUUGGGAGCUGGGAUAGUCAAGUAAACAAGAAGAAAUGGUAAAGAGAUGCCAAGUGGGAGAGGAAACUACGGAUGCAGAGAGAGGAUCUGGGAUAAAGAGAACAAAGAUGCGUGGUCGACUUUAUGGAAACUCGUUUCUUUUUAAUAAGUGAGGUACAUGGUAGAAGACUUUGACAUGUUGAUUAUGUGACUGGGACCAAGGACAACAACUCGAGAAUUGAUUAAAACUACAGUUAUUCCUUGGUUGCCCCAAGGAUGAUCCUGGUACAAUAUGGCUAUUUCCUUUUCACUGGUUAGCCAAGUGAAGCAGUGGGAGUGGAGAAGGAACAAAGAAAUCUGUAAAGUAGUUGUGAUCAAUUAGUUGUAAACACCACUGCACUCAGACUCAGACCAGCUUGCAUUGAUUUUUAUGACCUAAUCUCAGAGGUUGUACAGCGUCACUUCCACUGUACUCUACUUGUUGAAGCAGCUACAAAAACACCACAUUUAAGUAAAGGGGACACUAAUUGGGAGGAGUGUUAGUCACAUUAUAAGAAGAGCAUGUGGAAUGAGAGAUUAAGUAGAGAUAUUAUUGCAGUCAUUUAAGGAAAAUAUAAUCUCCCAUAAUAUUAAUAUCUGUUUUCCUUUUGUAAAAAAAAAAUGUACCAUUUCAGGCUGAGCAUGUUGGCUCAUGCCUGUAAUCAUAACAUUUUGGGAGGCUGAGGCCAGUGGAUCACCUGAGGUCAGGAAUUCGAGACCAGCCUGGCCAACAUGGCGAAACCUCGUCUCUGUUAAAAAUACAAAAAUUAGCCGGGUGUGGUGGCAGUCACCUAUAAUCCCAGCUACUCGGAAGGCUGAGGCAGGAGAAUCGCUUGAACCCAGGGGCGGAGGUUGCAGGGAGCUGGUACCACCACUGCACUCCAGCCUGGAUGACAGAGUGAAACUCUGUCUCAAAAAAACAAAACAAAACAAAAACUAAAAUGUACCAUUUCAGAUUUUUUUUCUGAAAUUAAACCUGAAAAGGUCAAAAAACACAUAAAUUACAGUCCCUUUCAAUUACUUACCAGGUACAGGUAUUGUUUAAGUCUAUAGAAGUUCAGACUAUAGUAGUUCAAAAUACCUUAUACAGGGCAGCUUAUAAAAAGCAGAAGUUUAUUUCUCAUAGUUCUGAAGACUGGGAAGUCCGGGUUCAAGGUUCUGGCAGAUUCAGUGCCUGUCGAGGGACUGCUUUUUGGUUCACAGAUAGUGUCUUCUAGCUGUCUCCUCAUGUGGUAGAAGGGUGCCUUUUUUAUUAGUACCCCUAGUUUUAUUUAUUUUAUUUUAUUUUUUAGAGACAGGGGUUUUACUAUGUUGCCCAGGCUAGCCUCAAACUCCUGGGCUUGAGCGAUCCUCCCACCUCAGCCUCCCAAGUAGUUGGGACUACAGGCACAUGUUAAAACACCUGGUUCCUAUUAGUGGUUAUUUUAUAAAGGCACUAAUCUCAUCUGUGGCACCAGAGCCCUCAUGACCUAAUUACCUCCCAAAGAUCCCAUCCCCUAAUACCAUCAUAUUGGUGAUGAGGUUUCAAUACAUGAAUUUGGGGGGCUGGGGACACAAACAUUCAGACCACAGUAGUUGUUACAUUGAUAUGAGCUGGUAAGUGUUAACACCUGGCAGCAAUCAGAUACCCAGCCAUAGGUGAAGGCAGGUGAUUAGAAUUACCAGCCAACACAUUUAUGUGCUAGCUAAUUUUUAUUCAAAACUUUCUGAAGCUACAUUCAAAGCAGUUAAUGGGAAAUGGAGUAAAAAAAUAGGCAACCUCUCACUCUAGAUAAUGCUGUUAAAAGUAAUUUUUCCUCCCAGUCCUCUCCUGUAAUGAAUAGUAUAAGAAGGUAUCCUCCCAACGUAGAGGCACCUUGUGUUUCCAAAGUUUUAAUUAGUUGUCAUGAUAAUUUUAUGUGUCAACUUGACUGGGUUAAGGGAUGCCCAAAUAGGUAGUAAAACAUUAUUUCUGGGUGUAUCUGUGAAGGUGUUUCUGGAUAAAAUUAACAUUUGAAUGGGUAGACUGAGUAGAGCAGACUGUCCUCCCCCAUGUGGGUGGCCCUUAUCCAAAUGGUUGAAGGCUAAAAUAGAACAAAAAAGCUGAGUAGAGGGGAUUCCCUCUGCCUGACUACCUUCGAACUGGGGCGGUGGCUGUUUCCUGCCUUUGGACUUGAACUGAAACAUCAGCUCUUCCUGAGUCUUGAGCCUCCUGGCUUUUGAACUGAAACAACAGUAAUGGCUCUCCUGGUUCUCAGGCAUUUGGACUUUGACUAGAACUACACCAUCAGUUCUCCUGGGUCUCCAGCUUGCCAAUCUCCAGUUUGCCAACUGCGGAUCUUGGGACUUGUCAGCCUCCAUAACUCCAUGAACCAAUUUUUUGUAAUAAAUCUCUUUCUAUAUGUCUAUUUAUUCUGUUGGUUCUGUUUCUCUGGAGAACCCUAAUGCCAUACAUAAUUUUUAAAAAAAAAAAAACUCUUUCCUUCUCUGUUUUUCUCUUAUACUUUUGUGAGUGUAGUGAUAGGCCAAAUCACAUAAGUGCUAAUAAAUACUUUUCCAACAAGUACUUAACCUUGUUUAGGUGAUAAUCACUUGUCUUACCUUUGUGUUCAGAAGAAUUCCCAAUUCCAACUUUCUUAGGUAUUUAUUGAAAAGCAGGAGGAGGGUUCGGUGGAGGGAAGAAGAGAUGGAAUAGGAUUUAGGAUCAUUGCAAAGACCGAGGUAGUUGGGGAACAUAAAGGUUUUAUGUUGCCUUUCUUCUUCCUCCUUAUCAUUGAAGGUCUCCUCCUCCCUCCUGCUCCCCAUCACACACCCUCACAUGCCCCCAUGUGGCCUCUUACUAAACAGGGAGAGAAGAGAAGAGCUGGAGAAAUGGAAGUAUUUUGUAUUGGUAAGCCCAAGCAGCAGCAUGCUGAGAAAAGAGGAGUUUUUAUGGCCCCUGGCUACCCAUCUGGAAUAAACAGUUCUAUUUCCAAAUGGCUAUUUCUAUGCCAAUGUAAAAAGACAUAGAUAAUGCAGAUUAUUGUGUAGACAUUACUAAUAUUCAACAAUAUCUCGUUUUCCUCUUCUUCCAGGCAUACUGAAGACUAUAUUUCUCAGCUGCCUUUGCAGGUGGGCAGGGUCAUGUGACUAUUAUGACUAAUAAAAUGUGAGCAAAAGUGACGAGUCACUUGUGGGCUGAGGCAGUGAAAAGUUGUUUGUGAUUCUCAAAUCUCUCUUCUGUUCUGCCAUUGCAAUUGUGGAAGGAGCUUUAUGUUGAAACGGAAGAGCCAAAAGAUUGAAGUAGUCUAUGUCUCAGUCACCAUAUGGGAGGGCAAAUGCCCUGGAGAACCACCCAGACACACAACAAGUUUGUAUGAAUAAGAAAUAAAACUUUGUUGUAUAAGUAA